GGCUAUGUAGCUCAGCUGGUUAGAGCACCGCACUCAUAAUGCGGGGGUCGGUGGUUCAAGUCCACCCAUAGCCACCA
Molecule: transfer RNA, 77 nt
Filed under: Lysobacteraceae bacterium
Lineage: Bacteria; Pseudomonadati; Pseudomonadota; Gammaproteobacteria; Lysobacterales; Lysobacteraceae
Also listed under: 1 other name
Description: Xanthomonadaceae bacterium tRNA-Met
Rfam family: tRNA
About the family: Transfer RNA (tRNA) molecules are approximately 80 nucleotides in length.
Source: RNAcentral